CCUACGGGAGGCAGCAGUGAGGAAUAUUGGUCAAUGGCCGCGAGCCUGAACCAGCCAAGUAGCGUGAAGGAUGACUGCCCUACGGGUUGUAAACUUCUUUUAUAAGGGAAUAAAGUGAUCCACGUGUGGAUUUUUGUAUGUACUUUAUGAAUAAGGAUCGGCUAACUCCGUGCCAGCAGCCGCGGUAAUACGGAGGAUCCGAGCGUUAUCCGGAUUUAUUGGGUUUAAAGGGAGCGUAGGUGGUUUGUUAAGUCAGUUGUGAAAGUUUGCGGCUCAACCGUAAAAUUGCAGUUGAUACUGGCAGUCUUGAGUACAGUUGAGGUAGGCGGAAUGCGUGGUGUAGCGGUGAAAUGCUUAGAUAUCACGAAGAACUCCGAUUGCGAAGGCAGCUUACUAAACUGCAACUGACACUGAUGCUCGAAAGUGUGGGGAUCAAACAGGAUUAGAUACCCCAGUAGUC
Molecule: ribosomal RNA, 460 nt
Filed under: uncultured bacterium
Lineage: Bacteria
Description: partial 16S ribosomal RNA
Rfam family: Bacterial small subunit ribosomal RNA
Source: RNAcentral